AUCGCUUCACGGCCUUUUGGCUGACAUUAAGUAUAAUAUCUGUUUUUAUCAGCUUAGUGUCUGAUACGUAGUCUAUAUGCUAUCCGACAAAAAUAUAUAAAAUGCAUUUAUGGAGUUGGAAGACUGAGUAGCAGCUUACCUUAUUCACUCCGUGCAGUAUCCUCGCGGGGUACAAUCUGUUUGCAAGGUGUGAGUAAAAAAUA
Molecule: small nuclear RNA, 203 nt
Filed under: Callithrix jacchus (white-tufted-ear marmoset)
Lineage: Eukaryota; Metazoa; Chordata; Mammalia; Primates; Cebidae
Description: U2 spliceosomal RNA (ENSCJAG00000057415.2)
Rfam family: U2 spliceosomal RNA (bases 1-178)
About the family: U2 is a small nuclear RNA (snRNA) component of the spliceosome (involved in pre-mRNA splicing).
Source: RNAcentral